Molecule: small nucleolar RNA, 216 nt
Filed under: Oreochromis aureus
Lineage: Eukaryota; Metazoa; Chordata; Actinopteri; Cichliformes; Cichlidae
Description: Small nucleolar RNA U3 (ENSOABG00000002143.2)
Rfam family: Small nucleolar RNA U3
About the family: Small nucleolar RNAs (snoRNAs) are involved in the processing and modification of rRNA in the nucleolus. There are two main classes of snoRNAs: the box C/D class, and the box H/ACA class.
Source: Rfam by way of RNAcentral
AAGACUAUACUUUCAGGGAUCAUUUCUAUAAAUUUCUGAUUUGAGAAAUGUGUUUCUUGAGUGUGUGGUCUCGCCAACCACGAUGAUUAGUUGUGAUAUUCCUUUCUGAACCUAAAACUGGCGGACAACCAUGAUUUUGUCAUGUGUUUUCUGUCCUUGAUGACUGUUCAUUGCUUCUUUUUGGAGCUUUAAUAAAGGGAAUAUAAUCUGAGUGGU